RNAcentral lists this ribosomal RNA (329 nucleotides) under uncultured eukaryote. RNAcentral describes it as "partial 18S ribosomal RNA". It matches the Rfam family "Eukaryotic small subunit ribosomal RNA", at positions 1470 to 1796 of the family's 1831-position model. The record is from RNAcentral.
CCCUUAGAUGUUCUGGGCCGCACGCGCGCUACACUGAUGCAUUCAACGAGUCUACAACCUGGUCUGAUAGGGCUGGGUAAUCUUUUGAAUGUGCAUCGUGAUUGGGAUAGAUGAUUGCAAUUCUUCAUCUUCAACGAGGAAUGCCUAGUAAACGCAAGUCAUCAGCUUGCAUUGAUUACGUCCCUGCCCUUUGUACACACCGCCCGUCGCUCCUACCGAUUGAAUGAUCCGAUGAAUAUCAUGGAUUGAGGAUUAUAGCAGGUUCGCCUGUCUUGAUCUUCGAGAAGUGAAGUAAAUCUUAUCAUUUAGAGGAAGGAGAAGUCGUAACA